CCUACGGGCGGCAGCAGUGAGGAAUAUUGGUCAAUGGACGAGAGUCUGAACCAGCCAAGUAGCGUGAAGGAUGACUGCCCUAUGGGUUGUAAACUUCUUUUAUAUGGGAAUAAAAUGUUCCACGUGUGGGAUUUUGUAUGUACCAUAUGAAUAAGGAUCGGCUAACUCCGUGCCAGCAGCCGCGGUAAUACGGAGGAACCGAGCGUUAUCCGGAUUUAUUGGGUUUAAAGGGAGGGUAGGUGGAAUGUUAAGUCAGUGGGGAAAAUUUGAGGCUCAAACGUAGACUUGCAGUUGAAACUGGUAGUCUUGAGUACGGUAGAGGUAGGCGGAAUUCGUGGUGUAGCGGUGAAAUGCUUAGAUAUCACGAAGAACUCCGAUUGCGAAGGCAGCUCACUGGCCUGCAACUGACGCUGAGGCUCGAAAGUGUGGGUAUCGAACAGGAUUAGAUACCCGGGUAGUC
This 460-nucleotide ribosomal RNA is filed under the name uncultured bacterium. RNAcentral's name for it is "partial 16S ribosomal RNA". It matches the Rfam family "Bacterial small subunit ribosomal RNA", at positions 338 to 795 of the family's 1533-position model. The record is from RNAcentral.